ACACCUGGAUACACCUGGAUACACCUGGACAGGUAAACAACACCUGAAAACCAGAGCACGUUCACCAACCACAGGAACGGCAACAGCAGGAACCCACCUGGGGACAGGUAAAAUACACCUGGACAGGUAAAAUACACCUGGAUACACCUGGG
Molecule: long non-coding RNA, 152 nt
Organism: Poecile atricapillus (Black-capped chickadee)
Lineage: Eukaryota; Metazoa; Chordata; Aves; Passeriformes; Paridae
Exons: 3
Source: RefSeq, a predicted model, not a curated record